CCUACGGGAGGCAGCAGUAGGGAAUAUUGCUCAAUGGGGGAAACUCUGAAGCAGCAACGCCGCGUGGAGGAUGAAGGUUUUCGGAUUGUAAACUCCUUUUGUUAGAGAAGAUAAUGACGGUAUCUAACGAAUAAGCACCGGCUAACUCCGUGCCAGCAGCCGCGGUAAUACGGAGGGUGCAAGCGUUACUCGGAAUCACUGGGCGUAAAGAGCGCGUAGGCGGGAUAGCAAGUCAGAUGUGAAAUCCUAUGGCUUAACCAUAGAACUGCAUUUGAAACUGUUAUUCUAGAGUAUGGGAGAGGUAGGUGGAAUUCUUGGUGUAGGGGUAGAAUGCGUAGAGAUCAAGAGGAAUACUCAUUGCGAAGGCGACCUGCUAGAACAUAACUGACGCUGAUGCGCGAAAGCGUGGGGAGCAAACAGGAUUAGAUACCCCAGUAGUC
This 440-nucleotide ribosomal RNA is filed under the name uncultured bacterium. Its description in RNAcentral is "partial 16S ribosomal RNA". It matches the Rfam family "Bacterial small subunit ribosomal RNA", at positions 338 to 795 of the family's 1533-position model. The record is from RNAcentral.